UAAAUAAGGUCUCGUUGGUGACCAGCGGAGGGAUCAUUACCGAGUUUACAACUCCCAAACCCCCUGUGAACUUAUACCAUUACUGUUGCUUCGGCGGGUUAUUGCCCCGGGGAAGGACAGGCUGCCGCAAGGUGCCCUGCCGCCCCCCCGGAAACAGGCGCCCGCCGGGGGACUCAAACUCUAUAUUUUUUUCUUGUUUUAGUGUAUACUGUCUGAGUAAAAAAAAACAUAAUGAAUCAAAACUUUCAACAACGGAUCUCUUGGUUCUGGCAUCGAUGAAGAACGCAGCGAAAUGCGAUAAGUAAUGUGAAUUGCAGAAUUCAGUGAAUCAUCGAAUCUUUGAACGCACAUUGCGCCCGCCAGUAUUCUGGCGGGCAUGCCUGUUCGAGCGUCAUUUCAACCCUCAAGCCCCUGCUGUGGACUUGGUGUUGGGGACCGGCGAUGGACAACCGUCCUGUCGCCGCCCCCUAAAUGAAUUGGCGGCCUCGUCGCGGCCCUCCUCUGCGUAGUAGCACACACCUCGCAACAGGAGCCCGGCGAAUGGCCACUGCCGUAAAACCCCCAACUUUUUCUCAGAGUUGACCUCGAAUCAGGUAGGAAUACCCGCUGAACUUAAGCAUAUCAAUAAGCGGAGGAAAAGAAACCAACAGGGAUUGCCCCGUAAAAC
Molecule: ribosomal RNA, 667 nt
Filed under: uncultured fungus
Lineage: Eukaryota; Fungi
Description: eukaryotic LSU rRNA
Rfam family: 5.8S ribosomal RNA (bases 241-394)
Source: RNAcentral